This 475-nucleotide unclassified non-coding RNA is filed under the name Hevea brasiliensis (rubber tree). Lineage: Eukaryota; Viridiplantae; Streptophyta; Magnoliopsida; Malpighiales; Euphorbiaceae. The record is from RNAcentral.
CUUGAGGGCAUUGACACGAGUAAUAUUGUGUCAAGUUCACGCAGAAGGUCCACAAUAAGUUAUGUACCUCCUCCAAAGCCCAAAAUACCGGUUGAAAGUGAUAGCGAUGAUACUGAUGAGGAUGAGGAUGAUGAUGAUGACGAUGAUGAUGCAGAAGAUGAAAAUGAUGAGGAUGAUGGAUGUAAUGAUGGGGAUGAUGACAGCCAAAGCGACGAGGGGCAUGUGGAGGACAGUGAUUGAAUUGAAUCCUGGAUAAGCUGACUCACAGGUCGAUUGAUGGUAGAUAUCUUAGCGGUUGGAGUUUGUGGGUGUAUCAUCUGUUCUGAACAUGUUUAGUUCAAUUUUUUCUACCGUCUUGGGUGUAGGAACAUGGAAUUUGUUUGCAGCUUCUUUUGUUAGUAUAUCAUCUAUAGCUGAUUUGUAACUUAUACAAGGGGUAUCUUUCCCUGAAAAAAUUAGCUUCAAAUAUAAACCA